Non-coding RNA from Ornithorhynchus anatinus (platypus), 130 nucleotides. RefSeq annotates it as microRNA let-7f-2. Lineage: Eukaryota; Metazoa; Chordata; Mammalia; Monotremata; Ornithorhynchidae. The transcript has a single exon. The record is from RefSeq and is marked provisional.
GAAUAUGAAGACUUGCUGUGCUCUUUGGGAUGAGGUAGUAGAUUGUAUAGUUUUAGGGUCAUACCCGAUCUUGGAGAUAACUAUACAGUCUACUGUCUUUCCCACGGUGUUGCUGUUCUCGUCCGAUAUC